UGUUGAGCGGCUGGUAUCACCCCUCCCCCAUUAUCCCCCAUGUUGUUCCACCUCCUUGUGGGAGGAGCCAGGCGAGGCCACAGAUCAGACUCCUCCAUCUCAUCCCACCAACUCUGUCAGUCCACCAGGCCACUGCAGUAACAGCCAUAUCUUCACAUCACGUAGCUUCAGUACCAUCUCAAUGUGUUGAAGCACCAUCCUGGAUCCUGUGGCAACGUCAAUAUGAAACAGCAUUGACCCGUGAUCACCACCAACCAGGGCUCCACAGCGGUGUCCUUUGAUGCCCAGGAUUUGCUCAAGAUCAACUAAAGGAGAUUUGGAUGGCCCCUUGUCAGUGGCCCUAGGAGUGAAGGGCCCGACAGGCAUACUGCAAAUCAUAAUAACUUCCCACCAUAAACGGACCAGGCAGCGUGGUGAGAAGCAGCAGUGCUUUCUGGAGGAAUGGACAUGGGAGGAGAUAUUGGAAGGUA
Oncorhynchus masou masou (cherry salmon) is the source of this 470-nucleotide long non-coding RNA. RefSeq lists it as uncharacterized. Lineage: Eukaryota; Metazoa; Chordata; Actinopteri; Salmoniformes; Salmonidae. The record is from RefSeq and is a predicted model, not a curated record. The transcript has 4 exons.